Long non-coding RNA from Mandrillus leucophaeus (drill), 654 nucleotides. RefSeq lists it as uncharacterized. The transcript is spliced from 3 exons. Lineage: Eukaryota; Metazoa; Chordata; Mammalia; Primates; Cercopithecidae. The record is from RefSeq and is a predicted model, not a curated record.
UGGGACGACAGCUGGGAAGUGCCUGACAUAUUCUCAAGAAGCUGCAGAUUCCAGACAUCUCUGGGCCCCUCUCUGGACUGGGAUGGAGGACCCAGAGGUGGAGAAGAACACACAAGCAGCACUUGAGGGCUCCAAGGGUGGCGAGGAGAGAAGGUUCUGCUCUGGUACAGCUAGCCCUGGGACCCUGAAUGACUGAAGCUAAGAAGUGCUGGAGACAGCAGUAGCUUUAGCCACAGGCUGUGUAGACCACCUGAGGAUGAUCUGGGAGUCUGUUUUGUGCACCUUGGAACCCAUCGGAUCCCUCCAAUGACACAUUUGUCCAGAGCAAGACAAGAUCACACUUUGACAGCCCUCUGUCAAGAUCCUUGCUCCAUAUCUCCAGACUAGCAGCCAGGCGUCUCCAUGCUGUUCUGAAGAAGCAGAUUCCUCAGCUACCCUUCAACUCCUUCCCAGGAGAUAAUCCUCCUCCAAAUCUCUGGAAAAGAUACACCUCCUCUUCUCUGAUAAAGGCUGGGGGGUGAUGCCCCUCCCCCAGGUUCCCAAUAAAGCUGUGCAAGACAGGGGCAAGGGAACUCACGGCCCGUUUUUGCUACAAAAACCCUUUUUCGGAAAAAAUAAUAAAGAAAGGAAUCAGCCAAUCCCUCCUCGAUGCCA